GACGAACGCUGGCGGCGUGCUUAACACAUGCAAGUCGAACGGAAAGGCCCUGCUUUUGUGGGGUGCUCGAGUGGCUAACGGUUGAGUAACACGUGAGUAACCUGCCCUUGACUUUGGGAUAACUUCAGGAAACUGGGGCUAAUACCGGAUAGUAGCUCCUGCUGCAUGGUGUGGGUUGGAAAGUUUCGGCGGUUUGGGAUGGACUCGCGGCUUAUCAGCUUGUUGGUGGGGUAGUUGCUUACCAAGGCUUUGACGGGUAGCCGGCCUGAGAGGGUGACCGGCCACAUUGGGACUGAGAUACGGCCCAGACUCCUACGGGAGGCAGCAGUGGGGAAUAUUGCACAAUGGGCGGAAGCCUGAUGCAGCAACGCCGCGUGCGGGAUGACGGCCUUCGGGUUGUAAACCGCUUUCGCCUGUGACGAAGCGUGAGUGACGGUAAUGGGUAAAGAAGCACCGGCUAACUACGUG
RNAcentral lists this ribosomal RNA (468 nucleotides) under uncultured bacterium. Its description in RNAcentral is "partial 16S ribosomal RNA". It matches the Rfam family "Bacterial small subunit ribosomal RNA", at positions 28 to 507 of the family's 1533-position model. The record is from RNAcentral.